RNAcentral lists this long non-coding RNA (1062 nucleotides) under Pongo abelii (Sumatran orangutan). RNAcentral's name for it is "lncRNA (ENSPPYG00000038157.1)". Lineage: Eukaryota; Metazoa; Chordata; Mammalia; Primates; Hominidae. The record is from RNAcentral.
ACCCCGCCGGCCGCGGAGGUUCGGUCCCCGCGCGGGGACUCCGGCCGCUCGCACCGCGCACCCCUCCCGGCCCGGACCCCGCGGGGAGAAUGAAUGGGCGGGACUCCGGCCACCCCGCCCCGCCCGCUCCGUCCGGCUCCGGCGCCUCCCGCGCGCGUGGGCAGGGCCGGGGCUGAACCCAGAGCGGCCGGGGCGGGGGUGAGGGAGCCGGGCGGGGACCCCAGCCAGGGCGGCGAGGCCGGCGGGGACCGGCGCGAACCUUCCCGUCCCGCCCGCGUCUUACCUGGCUCCGCGGAGGCCGCGCGGACCCCGAGCAGCAGGACCAGGGGCGCGAGCACGUCCAGGAGGCGCCGCCGCCGCGGCCACAGCCAGGGACACCUGCGCGGGACAGGCACGGGGCCAGCAUCCUGAGCCCCACCUGCGGGCCCUGGGCGCUUUCCUCCUGGCAGCUGUGCCCCCACCCGACCGGACCGCUCCCUGCAACUAGAGAGCCCUCACACCAGCAACCACCCCCACCUGCUCCCACCUCGUGUGCACAAAACUCAUGGCACUGGCUUGACGGCUUUCUCUGAUUCCGCCUGGCGCAUCCACACUGUCCCUUCUCGGCCAGGGCUCAUCUCCUAUGCCUGGACCAAGCAGCAUGGUUUUCAGUCUCCCUGGUCUCCCCACACGUGACCCCACCCAUCCUCUGAAGCAGCCCCAGGAGGCAGCAGUGACGUCACACUUCUAGUACCCGGCCCUCCCGGCCCUCCUCUCUGGGCUUGCUUGCCAGGGUCCUCCCAACCUGACUGCUGCCUCCCACCUCCUCUCCGCCCCUGGAGCUCUCCAGCCGCAGCCCAGCCGCGGGGCCUGCUUGGGAUUCUCCUCUGCUGGCAUCAUCCCUGCCUGCCUCAGCCUUCCCAGGCCCAAUCCUGCCCAAUCUCACCUCUUCCCACCCAUCCACCUGGCCAGGUCCCCACCAGCAUCUGCCUUCAAACCUGGAGUCCUUCUCUGAGUGCUUGCGGUCCACUGUGAGGAAGGAAAUCAAUUUAAAGGAUUAUGACCCACAUUUUUUAAAAAUAA